Molecule: non-coding RNA, 2497 nt
Organism: Rattus norvegicus (Norway rat)
Lineage: Eukaryota; Metazoa; Chordata; Mammalia; Rodentia; Muridae
Source: RefSeq, a predicted model, not a curated record
CUUGCUGUUGGGGUUUACUUUUUGCCCUUUAGCAGUGAACCAUGCUUUACUUACUGCCUGAGCCUACAAAGAAGCUUGAAGAAUGAGUUUUACAGGUCCAGCGCUCUCUGCCCACUAGGGAUCUCCCUAUCCUUAGGUGGGGUGUUAAAUGCUUCUCUAUUGGUUUGCUGGCUGGACCUGCAUGCUGCUUUCCCACUGCAUCCCUCUUGUUUGGGAAGAAUCUGUGUUGCAAGCCCUUCCUUUAGUCUUCGACUAUUCAGCUCUUCAUCCCUAUGGACCAUAUGACUGGGUCCAGCCUGCGGUGCCCACAAUGCCCCAGGCUUCUGAGCACCGCCUGGGCCGGACUCGAGAGCCACCUGUCAAUGUACAGCCCCGAGUGGGAGCCAAGAUACCGUUUCCUCCCCGGGCCCGCAGCAAGGAGCGCCGAAACCCAGUUCCUGGGCCAAACUCCAUGUUACGACCUUUGCCUCCCAGGCCAGGUCCCCCAGAUGAAAGGCUCAAGAAACUGGAUUUGGGUCGGGGUCGGACCUCAGGCUCUCGUCCUAGAGGUCCCCUUCGAGCAGAUCAUGGGGUUCCCUUGCCUGGCUCACCACCCCCAACUGUGGCUCUGCCUCUCCCAUCCCGGACCAACCUAACCCGAUCCAAGUCUGUGAGCAGUGGGGACUUGCGUCCAAUGGGGAUUGCCUUGGGAGGGCACCGUGGCACUGGCGAGCUAGGGGCUGCACUGAGCCGCCUGGCACUCCGGCCUGAGCCACCCACUUUGAGACGUAGUACUUCUCUCCGGCGUCUUGGGGGUUUCCCUGGACCCCCUACCCUGCUCAGCAUACGGACAGAGCCCCCUCCUUCCCAUGGCUCCUUCCACAUGAUAUCUGCCCGGCCUUCUGAGCCUUUCUACUCUGAUGACAAGAUGGCUCACCACACACUGCUUCUGGGCUCUGGUCAUGUUGGCCUCCGAAAUCUAGGAAAUACAUGCUUCCUGAACGCCGUGUUACAGUGUUUGAGCAGCACAAGGCCUCUUCGAGACUUUUGUCUGCGAAGGGACUUCCGGCAAGAGGUGCCCGGAGGAGGCCGAGCCCAGGAACUCACAGAAGCCUUUGCAGAUGUGAUUGGUGCCCUCUGGCACCCUGACUCCUGUGAAGCUGUGAAUCCUACCCGAUUCCGGGCUGUCUUCCAGAAAUACGUCCCUUCCUUCUCUGGAUACAGCCAGCAGGAUGCCCAAGAGUUCCUGAAGCUCCUUAUGGAGCGGUUGCACCUCGAAAUCAACCGACGAGGCCGCCGGGCACCACCAAUUCUGGCCAGUGGUCCAGUUCCCUCCCCACCUCGCCGAGGAGGGGCUCUGCAUGAAGAACCUGAACUGAGUGAUGAUGACCGAGCCAACUUAAUGUGGAAGCGCUACCUGGAGCGAGAAGACAGCAAGAUUGUGGACCUGUUUGUGGGCCAGCUGAAAAGUUGCCUCAAGUGCCAGGCCUGUGGGUAUCGCUCCACGACCUUCGAGGUUUUUUGUGACCUGUCCCUGCCCAUCCCCAAGAAAGGAUUUGCUGGGGGCAAAGUGUCUUUGCGGGAUUGCUUCAGCCUUUUCACCAAGGAGGAGGAGCUAGAGUCGGAGAAUGCCCCAGUAUGUGACCGAUGUCGGCAGAAAACACGAAGUACCAAAAAGUUGACAGUACAAAGAUUCCCCCGAAUCCUCGUGCUCCAUAUCCUACUUUUCAAGUUCUUAUUUCUCUUAGGGUAUCUCCCAUACAGUGUUUCCUCACCUUCAGUGAGUUUCCCGUAGGGAAAACCUGCCACCCCAACUUUCUCUGCCACUUUUCAGGACGUGUUGGGGGAAUGGAGGGUACCGAAUCUAUUUCCGCAGUCUCCCUUUUAGAGACCCUUAGCCUCCCCAAUGCUCCUUAACCAGGGCUUAGAUCUGAACCGAUUUUCCACCUCCCGAGGCUCCAUCAAGAAAAGUUCAGUAGGUGUAGACUUCCCACUGCAGCGACUAAGCCUAGGGGACUUUGCCAGCGACAAAGUGGGAAGCCCUGUCUACCAGCUGUAUGCCCUUUGCAACCACUCGGGUAGUGUCCACUAUGGCCACUACACAGCCCUGUGCCGGUGCCAGACUGGUUGGCAUGUCUACAAUGACUCCCGUGUCUCCCCUGUCAGUGAAAACCAGGUGGCAUCCAGUGAGGGCUACGUGCUGUUCUACCAAUUGAUGCAGGAACCACCUCGGUGCCUGUGACGCCAUCUUGAAGCCCUGGCACCUGUGAAAACCUUCUCAACACCCUUAAGCCCCCAGGCUCCCCACUUACCUCACAGACGUCUAUUUUUGUGUCUUUUUAAUCGGGGAGGGGAGGAGGGUUGGUUGUAGCUCCCGUUAUUUUUUUUAUUAAGAAGUACCCUUCCACCUUGUUUUCCUGUCCCAUGUACAGAAAUUACCAGGCCCUUGACCAUGUACAGCCCCCAGAACCUCUGCAAUCUCACUUUUUUGUGAAUAAAUUUAUUAAGAAAAAGUAAA